Molecule: transfer RNA, 65 nt
Filed under: Polididus armatissimus
Lineage: Eukaryota; Metazoa; Arthropoda; Insecta; Hemiptera; Reduviidae
Description: tRNA-Leu
Source: RNAcentral
ACUAUUUUGGCAGAUUAGUGCGAUAAAUUUAGAAUUUAUUUAUGUAGAAAAAUCUACAAAUAGUA